RNAcentral lists this ribosomal RNA (515 nucleotides) under uncultured archaeon. RNAcentral's name for it is "bacterial SSU rRNA". It matches the Rfam family "Archaeal small subunit ribosomal RNA", at positions 345 to 859 of the family's 1478-position model. The record is from RNAcentral.
AACCUUUACACUGCACGACAGUGCGAUAGGGGGACUCCGAGUGCGAGGGCAUAUAGCCCUCGCUUUUCUGUACCGUAAGGUGGUUCAGGAACAAGGACUGGGCAAGACCGGUGCCAGCCGCCGCGGUAAUACCGGCAGUCCGAGUGAUGGCCGAUAUUAUUGGGCCUAAAGCGUCCGUAGCCGGCCGGACAAGUCCGUUGGGAAAUCGACGCGCUCAACGCGUCGGCGUCCAGCGGAAACUGUCCGGCUUGGGGCCGGAAGACCUGAGGGGUACGUCCGGGGUAGGAGUGAAAUCCUGUAAUCCUGGACGGACCACCAAUGGGGAAACCACCUCAGGAAGACGGACCCGACGGUGAGGGACGAAAGCUAGGGUCUCGAACCGGAUUAGAUACCCGGGUAGUCCUAGCUGUAAACGAUGCUCGCUAGGUGUGCCGUAGGCUACGAGCCUGCGCUGCGCCCUAGGGAAGCCGAGAAGCGAGCCGCCUGGGAAGUACGUCCGCAAGGAUGAAACUUAA